This is a long non-coding RNA of Artibeus jamaicensis (Jamaican fruit-eating bat), 390 nucleotides long. RefSeq lists it as uncharacterized. The record is from RefSeq and is a predicted model, not a curated record. Lineage: Eukaryota; Metazoa; Chordata; Mammalia; Chiroptera; Phyllostomidae. The transcript has 3 exons.
AGCAGUCUCUGCGGCCUUAUCUUCCCAUCUGCGAACCAGGGGAAGCUCUUGUGUCACCUCCCUGGCUGGUGGGGAAGACUGGUCAACUCUGGGCUUGGUGAAGGGCAGGCCUCACAGGGAGAGGGGAAAGAAGAAAGAGAGAGGAACAUUGAUCAGUUGCCUCUCACACACCCCCAACUAGGGACGGGCCCACAACCCAGGCCUGUGCCCCCCGACUGGGAAUCGAAUGAGCCACAGGCCAGCGCUCAGUCCACUGAGCCACCCGAGUUAUUUGCUUUCUCUUGUGUUUUUGUUUCACGAAGCAAGCCGGGCUCCGGUUUUAAAACACAACCAGCCCCAAAUCAACAAGAGGAAAUCUGUCCACACACACCAGGCCCCGACUGAUCACCG